Molecule: ribosomal RNA, 292 nt
Filed under: uncultured bacterium
Lineage: Bacteria
Description: partial 16S ribosomal RNA
Rfam family: Bacterial small subunit ribosomal RNA
Source: RNAcentral
GUGCCAGCAGCCGCGGUAAGACGAACCGUGCGAACGUUGUUCGGAAUCACUGGGCUUAAAGGGCGCGUAGGCGGGUUCGCAAGUCUGUGGUGAAAGCCUCCAGCUUAACUGGAGAAGUGCCGUGGAUACUGCGAAUCUUGAGGAGGGUAGGGGCGUCUGGAACGGUCGGUGGAGCGGUGAAAUGCGUUGAUAUCGACCGGAACUCCGGUGGCGAAGGCGAGGCGCUGGACCCUUUCUGACGCUGAGGCGCGAAAGCCAGGGGAGCAAACGGGAUUAGAAACCCCGGUAGUCC